GACGAACGCUGGCGGCGUGCCUAAUACAUGCAAGUCGAGCGAAGUUUUUCUGGUGCUUGCACUAGAAAAACUUAGCGGCGAACGGGUGAGUAACACGUAAAGAACCUGCCUCAUAGACUGGGACAACUAUUGGAAACGAUAGCUAAUACCGGAUAACAGUAUUUCUCGCAUGAGAGAUAUUUAAAAGCUGGUUAUGCCAACACUAUGAGAUGGCUUUGCGGUGCAUUAGCUAGUUGGUGGGGUAAAGGCCCACCAAGGCGACGAUGCAUAGCCGACCUGAGAGGGUGAUCGGCCACACUGGGACUGAGACACGGCCCAGACUCCUACGGGAGGCAGCAGUAGGGAAUCUUCCGCAAUGGGCGAAAGCCUGACGGAGCAACGCCGCGUGAGUGAAGAAGGAUUUCGGUUCGUAAAGCUCUGUUGUUAGGGAAGAAUGGAUAUGUAGUAACUAUACAUGUAAGAGACGGUACCUAACCAGAAAGCCACGGCUAACUACGUG
Molecule: ribosomal RNA, 499 nt
Filed under: uncultured bacterium
Lineage: Bacteria
Description: partial 16S ribosomal RNA
Rfam family: Bacterial small subunit ribosomal RNA
Source: RNAcentral